This 178-nucleotide ribosomal RNA is filed under the name uncultured bacterium. RNAcentral's name for it is "partial 16S ribosomal RNA". It matches the Rfam family "Bacterial small subunit ribosomal RNA", at positions 1322 to 1500 of the family's 1533-position model. The record is from RNAcentral.
GAAGCUGGAAUUGCUAGUAAUGGCAGGUCAGCAUACUGCCGUGAAUACGUUCCCGGGCCUUGUACACACCGCCCGUCACACCAUGAGAGUUGGGAAUACCCGAAGCCUGUGAGCUAACUUUUAGAGGCAGCAGUCGAAGGUAGAAUCAAUGAUUGGGGUGAAGUCGUAACAAGGUAUC